Molecule: ribosomal RNA, 435 nt
Filed under: uncultured bacterium
Lineage: Bacteria
Description: partial 16S ribosomal RNA
Rfam family: Bacterial small subunit ribosomal RNA
Source: RNAcentral
GAUAAACGCUGGCGGUAUGCUUAACACAUGCAAGUCGAACGGACUCUUCGGAGUUAGUGGCGGACGGGUGAGUAAUGCGUGAGAAUCUGGCUUUGGGUUCGGGACAACCACUGGAAACGGUGGCUAAUACCGGAUGUGCCGAGAGGUAAAAGAGAAAUUGCCUGAAGAUGAGCUCGCGUCUGAUUAGCUAGUUGGUGAGGUAAAGGCUCACCAAGGCAGCGAUCAGUAGCUGGUCUGAGAGGAUGACCAGCCACACUGGGACUGAGACACGGCCCAGACUCCUACGGGAGGCAGCAGUGGGGAAUUUUCCGCAAUGGGCGAAAGCCUGACGGAGCAAUACCGCGUGAGGGAAGAAGGCUCUUGGGUUGUAAACCUCUUUUCUUAGGGAAGAACAAAAUGACGGUACCUAAGGAAUCAGCAUCGGCUAACUCCGUG